Molecule: non-coding RNA, 46 nt
Organism: Schistosoma haematobium
Lineage: Eukaryota; Metazoa; Platyhelminthes; Trematoda; Strigeidida; Schistosomatidae
Source: Rfam
GCACUGCUGAAGAGUCCCGAAAUCGAACGAAACGACCGUCCAGUGU